UAGGGAAUCUUCCGCAAUGGACGCAAGUCUGACGGAGCAACGCCGCGUGAGUGAAGAAGGAUUUCGGUUCGUAAAACUCUGUUGUUAGAGAAGAACAGCGCAUAGAGUAACUGUUAUGCGUGUGACGGUAUCUAACCAGAAAGCCACGGCUAACUACGUGCCAGCAGCCGCGGUAAUACGUAGGUGGCAAGCGUUGUCCGGAUUUAUUGGGCGUAAAGCGAGCGCAGGCGGUCAAUUAAGUCUGAUGUGAAAGCCCCCGGCUCAACCGGGGAGGGUCAUUGGCAACUGGUUGACUUGAGUGCAGAAGAGGAGAGUGGAAUUCCAUGUGUAGCGGUGAAAUGCGUAGAUAUAUGGAGGAACACCGGUGGCGAAAGCGGCUCUCUGGUCUGUAACUGACGCUGAGGCUCGAAAGCGUGGGGAGCGAACAGG
This 429-nucleotide ribosomal RNA is filed under the name Bacteroidota bacterium. RNAcentral describes it as "Bacteroidetes bacterium partial 16S ribosomal RNA". It matches the Rfam family "Bacterial small subunit ribosomal RNA", at positions 355 to 776 of the family's 1533-position model. Lineage: Bacteria; Pseudomonadati; Bacteroidota. The record is from RNAcentral.